CCUACGGGAGGCAGCAGUAGGGAAUCUUCCACAAUGGACGAAAGUCUGAUGGAGCAACGCCGCGUGAGUGAAGAAGGGUUUCGGCUCGUAAAGCUCUGUUGGUAGUGAAGAAAGAUAGAGGUAGUAACUGGCCUUUAUUUGACGGUAAUUACUUAGAAAGUCACGGCUAACUACGUGCCAGCAGCCGCGGUAAUACGUAGGUGGCAAGCGUUGUCCGGAUUUAUUGGGCGUAAAGCGAGUGCAGGCGGUUCAAUAAGUCUGAUGUGAAAGCCUUCGGCUCAACCGGAGAAUUGCAUCAGAAACUGUUGAACUUGAGUGCAGAAGAGGAGAGUGGAACUCCAUGUGUAGCGGUGGAAUGCGUAGAUAUAUGGAAGAACCCCGAUUGCGAAGGCAGCAUACCGGUGCACAACUGACGCUCAGGCACGAAAGCGUGGGUAUCGAACAGGAUUAGAUACCCUGGUAGUC
This 465-nucleotide ribosomal RNA is filed under the name uncultured bacterium. RNAcentral's name for it is "partial 16S ribosomal RNA". It matches the Rfam family "Bacterial small subunit ribosomal RNA", at positions 338 to 795 of the family's 1533-position model. The record is from RNAcentral.